UCUCCCCUCCCUCUCCUUUAACUAUCUUAUUUUUAUCUAAAAACCCAGACCCUAUGCAUUUUUCCCACCAUGUAGCCCUUUUACAUAGGGGCUUUAAUAAAAGUUAAAACCAUAAACUUUUAGUAACAAACAAUUUUUAAAAGUUUUCUCCUAUGUUUUAGACUAGCAAGGGUUAUUUUUUAGUAAGCACAAUUUGAAGCCGCACCUGUGUUGUGCUUAGUUAAAAGUUAAUAUAUGUAUUUUUUUCAAAUAGGACGAGGCCUUUUUUCUUGACAUACCAGAUUCUGCACUAGAAGUUUUCAAUUUUGAACAAGAUGGAAGUCAAAACCAACAGAUAGGUUUUCCUGAGAUUACAGAAGACGGUAUGAACUGUUUUUAAAUAUGUGUUUGAAAUAGUGUACAUUUUUUCCAGGGGUUGUGCAUUAACACGUGUAUUGGGAACUAUGUUUGUUGUUGUUAGUGAAAAAGAAGCUGCCUUUGCUCCAAAGGUUUUACUGUAAAAAAGUUUUGCUGGCAGUUGUUGAGAAUUUGGAGCUGUACUGCACCCAUGUUUCUGCAUGCUCUUUUUUUUAUUACAACACAUGCAAAAGUGCUAAAAUAAAGGGCUGUUUCUUCAUAUAAGUUUGUCUUUUCAAGUGGUUAUUCCUUUACAAAACUUAAUAUAGCUUUCACUUGUAUUUGUUGAAAAGCAGGUGAAGAAGCAGCCUUCUUAUCUCUGAUCCACUGACUCACAGAUGCUAUUUUUGCUAACAGUGGCUUUGUUGGAAAAGCAUGUUGCUUCAAAUUGUUUUUACUAAAAAAUAACCCAUGUUAGUCUAAAACGUAGAAGAAAAUGUUUUUAUCACUAUAAUUUACUUUUAUAAACAAGUUCUCUGUGUUUUUAACCCUGGAAUGUUUCUGCAUGCUCACUUUUAUUGAAACAUAUGCAAAAGUGCUAAAUGAAGGGAUGUGUCUUCAUGUAGGCUUGUCUUUUCAAGUGUUUAUUCCUUUACAAGACUUAAUAUAACUUUCACCUCUAUU
Long non-coding RNA from Dermochelys coriacea (leatherback sea turtle), 1020 nucleotides. RefSeq lists it as uncharacterized. Lineage: Eukaryota; Metazoa; Chordata; Testudines; Dermochelyidae. The record is from RefSeq and is a predicted model, not a curated record. The transcript has 2 exons.